UGGGGAAUAUUGGACAAUGGGGGCAACCCUGAUCCAGCCAUGCCGCGUGUGUGAAGAAGGCCUUUUGGUUGUAAAGCACUUUAAGCAGGGAGGAGAGGCUAAUGGUUAAUACCCAUUAGAUUAGACGUUACCUGCAGAAUAAGCACCGGCUAACUCUGUGCCAGCAGCCGCGGUAAUACAGAGGGUGCGAGCGUUAAUCGGAAUUACUGGGCGUAAAGCGAGUGUAGGUGGCUCAUUAAGUCACAUGUGAAAUCCCCGGGCUUAACCUGGGAACUGCAUGUGAUACUGGUGGUGCUAGAAUAUGUGAGAGGGAAGUAGAAUUCCCAGGUGUAGCGGUGAAAUGCGUAGAGAUCUGGAGGAAUACCGAUGGCGAAGGCAGCUUCCUGGCAUAAUAUUGACACUGAGAUUCGAAAGCGUGGGUAGCAAACAGGAUUAGAUACCCUGGUAGUCCACGCCGUAAAACGAUGUCUACUAGCCGUUGGGGUCCUUGAGACUUUAGUGGCGCAGUUAACGCGAUAAGUAGACCGCCUGGGGAGUACGGCCGCAAGGUU
Molecule: ribosomal RNA, 551 nt
Filed under: uncultured bacterium
Lineage: Bacteria
Description: partial 16S ribosomal RNA
Rfam family: Bacterial small subunit ribosomal RNA
Source: RNAcentral